CAGCAGCCGCGGGAAUACGUAGGUGGCAAGCGUUGUCCGGAAUUAUUGGGCGUAAAGGGCUCGCAGGCGGCUUCUUAAGUCUGAUGUGAAAGCCCCCGGCUCAACCGGGGAGGGUCAUUGGAAACUGGGAAACUUGAGUGCAGAAGAGGAGAGUGGAAUUCCACGUGUAGCGGUGAAAUGCGUAGAUAUCGGAAGGAACACCAGUGGCGAAGGCGGCUACCUGGACUGAGACUGACACUGAGGCGCGAGAGCGUGGGGAGCAAACAGGAUUAGAUACCCCCGUAGUCCCUGUCUCUUAUAC
This 301-nucleotide ribosomal RNA is filed under the name uncultured bacterium. RNAcentral describes it as "partial 16S ribosomal RNA". It matches the Rfam family "Bacterial small subunit ribosomal RNA", at positions 509 to 807 of the family's 1533-position model. The record is from RNAcentral.